UAGUACCGUUGAGGGAAAGUUGAAAAGAACUUUGAAGAGAGAGUUCAAGAGUACGUGAAACCGUUCAGGGGUAAACCUGAGAAACCCAAAAGAUCGAAUGGGGAGAUUCAACGUAAACUUUGCCGAUUGCCGUGUAACGCGCGAUAUUUGUUAUCUCGGUAACGAGUACGCCGUUGCUGCGGUUUGUAUUGGUUAAGUAAGCGUGCACUUCUCCCCUAGUAGGACGUCGCGACCCGUUGGGUGCCGGCCUACGGCCCGCAAGGUCGACUGUUGCUUGGGCGUUUACGCGCCUCUCGUGGCAGACCUGCGGAUGCCCGGCCGGCUGCCCGGCGGUAGUGAUUAAUCAAGAAUUGGUAUUUGGCCGCAUCUCGUAUGUGCGUACCGGCUCAUUGGCAGGCUCGCCUUGCUCGGUAAACGGACCUAGCGCCGUUGCCGGGUACUUGGUGGGUCGUUCGCUGACGAUGUCCUCGUACUGGCUAUUACCGGUCGGCGACGCUACUGCUUUGGGUACUUUCAGGACCCGUCU
Molecule: ribosomal RNA, 526 nt
Filed under: Aphytis melinus
Lineage: Eukaryota; Metazoa; Arthropoda; Insecta; Hymenoptera; Aphelinidae
Description: partial large subunit ribosomal RNA
Rfam family: Eukaryotic large subunit ribosomal RNA
Source: RNAcentral